Molecule: long non-coding RNA, 2758 nt
Filed under: Taeniopygia guttata (zebra finch)
Lineage: Eukaryota; Metazoa; Chordata; Aves; Passeriformes; Estrildidae
Description: lncRNA (ENSTGUG00000023097.1)
Source: RNAcentral
AGGAGAAAAGAAAGAAAGGGAGGAAGAAGGGAGGAAAGGGCACACGCACCGCGCACGCAUCCACACCCGCACACGCACACACAGCCACAUAGAGGCACGGGGACACACACACUCACACGCACACGCGGGCACACGCACACGCGCGCUCACACACACCCCACACGCACACGCACUCACACACACCCGGCCCCGCGCCGCCGCCGAGUCAGGAUUCAAUGAUUCAACAGCGAUCGCCCUAAUGACAACAGCCUCAUAAUAUCUCCCCUAAAUCCACAAGGGAAGACUAGUACAAAGAAAAUUCACUGUAUAAACAUCCUGCCCAAGAAAGGAAGGUUCGCCCAUACUCCAUCUACAGGAUUUAGUCCUUUGUAGCCACAUACAGUGUGCAACAGAACCAUUUGGAAAAAUUCAUCUAUCAAGUUUAACAACUUUUUGGUGUAACUUCAGAGAGGUUUAUUGCUUAUUCAUGUGGAAGUGAGCACAGUGGCAAUGCCAGCACCAUGCAGCAGAUUGUGUCCUGACUGCAGCUACCCUGGAGCCUGAAUCCUCAUCUCAGCUCUCCUGCAGCUACCCUGGAGCCUGAAUCCUCAUCCCAGCUCUCCUGCAGCUACCCUAGCCUGAAUCCUCAUCCCAGCUCUAAAGCCGUGCACACAGGAUUGGUGUUUGGUACAACAAAGACAGAAGCAGGAGACAGAACAGUGCAAGACCCAGUACAAAUCUAUAGCCUAAGUGGUACAGCCCUCCCAAUAUUCUUAACUUUUGUACAAAAUGCCCCCUGGAGACACGUUUACAGAGUUGCCAUUUCAGCAAAUGACAUUUUGCAUAUUCUUUGGAGAUGCCACAUAGGUAAUGCAGUCAUACCUAGCUCAAAGUGACCAUGUGAAUUGAACAUGACUCAGCUGCUCUCUGGAUUACACACACAGGGUAUUUUAUGUCAGCAGACAGUAAGAGGAGCUGAAGUGGGGCUAGAAAACGUCGAAAAGACAUCUUCCCUUCAGCACUGCCAUUUUGGUGAUGCUGCCAUGUUCUAUGCAGGUAGCAGCUUAUACUGGUGCAUGUGGAGAUCAGCUUUGUAACAGCAGAAUUUUUUUGUAAAAACCAAUAUUUCUCUCUUCACUGUGUUUCACCAGAAUUAAUACUCAGAAGGUAUUAAGGAAAUGUUCUAAAAGCUGUAGUGAUAUUGCUUCCGCAAGCUCCUGGUUAUCUUUCUUCUCUCGUUAGGGCAUAUCAAAGUUUAAUAGAGCCCCAUAUCACUUUCCCCCUAAUUCUGUACUUUAAUGUCCUGUUUUCUUUACUGAUUUUUUUUACUAUUCCUUGUGAAUUACUGAUCUGAUUAUUCCCUUUGCCCACACCUACCUGCUGUGGUCUCCUUCCUCAUGCUGGGGACAGAUUGGUUUAUUUUCUAAUUACCAGAAGGCUUUCUAUUUCUCUUUGGAAUUAUUUAAAAAAUAAAUUCUCUUUGUCAUUAAAGUUCCUGAGAUAUUUGAUCAUAAUUUAUUCUGAAGUUGUUUGUCUCCUUUAGACUUUUUAAAAUACUGUAAGUAUUUUACAAGUUAAAAUAUAUCUGAUCUCACUGUUAACAGCAAUCAGGUUUGAAGCAGAACCAAGUUAGGCCAAGUAAAUCUCCCUAUGAAACUUCCCAGCAUUCCACUGAUGCUCCAGUGCUUUCUUGCAGCAAACAUAAGUGCUUUGAGAAGGUUUGCUUUUGGUACAAAAACAAACAAACAAAUAAAGCUCCCACCAAAAGAACACAUGAUCUCCCCAUGCAUACUUGGGUUCAAAUUCCUGACCUGCUGUUUCUCUAGCUGCAGAGGACUGUGUCAAUUCACCCACAGCCUGGUAGUUAUCCUUGGGCAAGCUGCACUCCACAAUUCCUCCUGGAGGUGAUCUACUUCCUAUAACACAGCAUUCUUCAGAGUCAUUAUCUGAAUUUGCUUCCUCCUAUAUUGGGUGAGCAUCCCCACAACUGCACUGCAGAACUGCGCUGAAACUGAGCUGCACUUUCUAAUGAAAAUUCAUUUCAUUGCAAAACUCCCAAUCAGCUCUAAUUUGGAAGCCCCAGCUGAGCUCCUGCUGUGAUAUAUAUCAUAAGAGACAGAUCUUGCUGAGAAGGGCUGGCAGGUUGGAGAGAUGAAGGCUGAGAAGAAAAGCACAACAGAAAGGUGAAAUGGCUUCCUCAGAAUCACGCAAUGGGUCAGUGGCAGUUUUAGGUCUUAGUGCCAGCCACAGCCCAUGCUACCUCUCCCAUCCUGAGCUUACAGACAGACUUAGCUUUCCCUGGUCAUCUUUUAAUUAACUGGAUUAUUCUUGCAUGGAGGUUAACGCUUGGGUGCACAAGUUCAGCAGUUUUGAACCUUGCUGUUUACAAAGCAUCAUGUACAUAUAUAUGGCACCAUCAAAAACUUUAAAGUAACAGAUAACAAAGAUGUCACAGUAAAAUGCUUAAAAGCCAGGCCCUAUUCCACCAGAGUAGGCAAGAGGACAAAGAAUAUCAAGUAUUGUUCUAACUAAAGUCUGUCAGCUCCUCUGAACAAGCACAUGAUGAGAGAAUUGUGAAGACAGUGAUGGAACAUACAACAAAAUCCUGUUGCUUCAUGCUCUGUGACACGUUUGCUGUACCAGGAAUGAAACAGAGAGAAGGAAUUUGGUUUCUGGGAUUAUGAAAUCUAGAUCCUGGUUCUAUAACCUGCUGAUGAUAUGGGUUUCUGUUGUCAUUUGGAUGUGAUUUUAUAUUCCCUGUCUUAAUUAAUAGUUAUGG